AAGACCUUGCACUUUUGGAGCGGCCGAUGUCUGAUUAGCUAGUUGGUGGGGUAAUGGCCUACCAAAGCUUCGAUCAGUAGCUGGUCUGAGAGGACGGCCAGCCACACUGGGACUGAGACGCGGCCCAGACUCCUACGGGAGGCAGCAGUGGGGAAUUUUGGACAAUGGGCGCAAGCCUGAUCCAGCCAUGCCGCGUGAGUGAAGAAGGCCUUCGGGUUGUAAAGCUCUUUCAGCCGGGAAGAAAAGGUUGCGACUAAUAAUCGCAAUCCAUGACGGUACCGAAAGAAGAAGCACCGGCUAACUACGUGCCAGCAGCCGCGGUAAUACGUAGGGUGCGAGCGUUAAUCGGAAUUACUGGGCGUAAAGGGUGCGCAGGCGGUUUUGUAAGUCAGAUGUGAAAUCCCCGGGCUUAACCUGGGAACU
RNAcentral lists this ribosomal RNA (423 nucleotides) under uncultured bacterium. Its description in RNAcentral is "bacterial SSU rRNA". It matches the Rfam family "Bacterial small subunit ribosomal RNA", at positions 207 to 622 of the family's 1533-position model. The record is from RNAcentral.